Molecule: ribosomal RNA, 260 nt
Filed under: uncultured bacterium
Lineage: Bacteria
Description: partial 16S ribosomal RNA
Rfam family: Bacterial small subunit ribosomal RNA
Source: RNAcentral
GUCCACGCCUUAAACGAUGAUAACUCGCUGUUGGCGAUACACUGUCCAGCGGCUAAGCGAAAGCGUUAAGUUAUCCACCUGGGAAGUACGACCGCAAGGUUGAAACUCAAAGGAAUUGACGGGGGCCCCGCACAAGCGGAGGAGCAUGUGGUUUAAUUCGAUGGUACGCGAGGAACCUUACCUGGGCUUGAAAGUUAGUGACCGGCUGUGAAAGCAGCCUUUCCGCAAGGACACGAAACUAGGUGCUGCAUGGCUGUCGU